UUUGACUCAACGCGGGAAAUCUUACCGGGUCCGGACACACUGAGGAUUGACAGGCAAUAUCUCAUGUUUAAUAACCGUUAUUAACGUAUCGCGUUAUUUAUACAUCGAGUGUUAAAUAUGCUAGUCCUUUCAUGAUUAUGUGAUAGGUGGUGCAUGGCCGUUCUUAGUUCGUGGAGUGAUCUGUCUGCUUAAUUGCGUUUCACUAAGGGCCCAUAAAUUCAAGGUAUGUUAGCUAUCUGUCGCUCUAUGGACCCCUUAA
Molecule: ribosomal RNA, 259 nt
Filed under: Neogloboquadrina pachyderma
Lineage: Eukaryota; Foraminifera; Rotaliida; Globorotaliidae
Description: partial 18S ribosomal RNA
Rfam family: Eukaryotic small subunit ribosomal RNA
Source: RNAcentral